RNAcentral lists this long non-coding RNA (721 nucleotides) under Bos indicus x Bos taurus (hybrid cattle). RNAcentral's name for it is "lncRNA (ENSBIXG00005017123.1)". The record is from RNAcentral. Lineage: Eukaryota; Metazoa; Chordata; Mammalia; Artiodactyla; Bovidae.
UUUUAUUUUAUCAUUUGAUUUCCUUGCCCUCGCAGUUAUGUAAAUCUUGAGGCAAAGGAGUUCAAAAGAGGUUCUUAUUUUAUACCUGGACAUUUCACUGAACAUUUUUUCUCAAGCUUUAUAAUUAAGAUUGGAGAACUUGUGGGUAUUUUAAAUAUAUACUAAAAUUUGUCCAAAUAGCCAAAGGCAAAGGGAAUGACCAACUGGGUAGCUGAUGAAUAUUUUCCUGGUAGAUGUACAACAACGUUCCCCACAACUGGGAUGCUUUAUCCUUUGACAUUAAGAAUGCUGUUUGCAGAAGUAACAUUCCUUUGAACACUCAGCGUUCUGAAAUCGUGUCCCGCCGCAAGGACUCAAGUAGGACCGUGCCUUGCAUUGAAGAAGACAGCAUGAUGAGGAAGCUCAAGAAGUAGGAAAACGAAAAUUUAGGAUGUCAGGAUCAUGAGAAACCAUGAAGACGUUUGUAGAAGACCACCAGAUGACAAGAUGGAAAGAAUACUGAUCCCUGUGUCACUAAUUAGAAGAGAGAGAUCAAGAAAUCUACCCAUUCAGAAACAUCCACAUUGGGUUUUGUUAUGAUCAAUGCAUAUUUUAUUAAGUCCCUGAGAUUUUGGGAUUCUUUGUUAUAACAGUUAUACUAUCUUAGACAUUAGAUAGUACAUCCUAUUCUCCACCAAAGCUGUCAGAAUGAGCCUAAUAAAACAUAGGUCAAAUGAAAUCA